This 468-nucleotide ribosomal RNA is filed under the name uncultured bacterium. RNAcentral describes it as "partial 16S ribosomal RNA". It matches the Rfam family "Bacterial small subunit ribosomal RNA", at positions 28 to 507 of the family's 1533-position model. The record is from RNAcentral.
GACGAACGCUGGCGGCGUGCUUAACACAUGCAAGUCGAACGGAAAGGCCCUGCUUUUGUGGGGUGCUCGAGUGGCGAACGGGUGAGUAACACGUGAGUAACCUGCCCUUGACUUUGGGAUAACUUCAGGAAACUGGGGCUAAUACCGGAUAGGAGCUCCUGCUGCAUGGUGGGGGUUGGAAAGUUUCGGCGGUUGGGGAUGGACUCGCGGCUUAUCAGCUUGUUGGUGGGGUAGUGGCUUACCAAGGCUUUGACGGGUAGCCGGCCUGAGAGGGUGACCGGCCACCUUGGGACUGAGAGACGGCCCAGACUCCUACGGGAGGCAGCAGUGGGGAAUAUUGCGCAAUGGGCGGACGCCUGAUGCAGCAACGCCGCGUGCGGGAUGACGGCCUUCGGGUUGUAAACCGCUUUCGCCUGUGACGAAGCGUGAGUGACGGUAAUGGGUAAAGAAGCACCGGCUAACUACGUG